CAUCACUCCACUACCACCACCAAUAAAAACCUAAGAUCUAAAUACAAUUCACCAAAUCACCCAACAUCUAAGCCCUAAAUCUACAUCGGUCAAAACAAAAUUUAGGAAAAACGUAGACAACUAUAGAAAUGAACGCCUACUGCCACACAUACGCCAUGGGAAAAAACAAGGCUGCUCCACCGUGAUCCAGCAAAUCAAUGCUCCAGUCCACACCGUAUGAUCCGACAUCCCUGCUUGAACUACGCUGAGUGCCUUGAGAUCUUUAACAGCGUUGCUGCUUUGCACAGCGGAGCGUCAUCGGGACCAACAAGGGGUAGUACAGGAAUAUUCACCUGUUGUCCAUCGACUACGCCUUUCGACCUGAUCUUAGGCCCUGACUCACCCUCCGUGGACGAACCUUAGCGUCGCUGCUUCAUUGUAGCAACGGUAAUUAGAGAGUGGAGAAUUAGGUGAGGCAACAUCACUGCUUCGUCGCAAUAACGGCAAUUGGAGUGUGGAGAAUUAGGAAG
RNAcentral lists this long non-coding RNA (509 nucleotides) under Olea europaea subsp. europaea. The record is from RNAcentral. Lineage: Eukaryota; Viridiplantae; Streptophyta; Magnoliopsida; Lamiales; Oleaceae.